GGCGGGAUCCAGGGGGCGAGGCCCGAGGCCGUGGGGUCCAGGCAUUUCUUUUCCUCCCACUCAGGGGCUGCCAGGGCCCAAAGGGGAGCGAGGAGAGAAGGGUGAGCCACCGUCCCUGGCCACCAUCUACCAGCUCGUGGGCCAGGCCUGUGAAUCUGCCAUCCAGGCGCACGUGCUGAAGCUCCACUCCUGCUCCCACGAGGGCACCAGGCCGCCCAUGCCCAUCCUGGAGGCGCCCAGGGCCCUCGGCAUGCGCAGCGAGGCCCGGCUCCCUGGAGGAGGGGGGCACGGUGGCCCCCGCCCCGAGGACAGAGGACGGUCCCCCUGCUGCCCCGAGUGAGCCAGACCUUCCCCCCAGAUCCCGGACACGGGGUGCAGCUGGAGCAGCCUGGACGUGGAGGGACAGGGGAUGGAGGCCGAGCCUUGAAACCUCUUCUCUGCCCGUUUCCUGUGCAGAUAAACAAGCACUUGUCAAGGAAGUGGCUGCUUGUUACUAGGGCCCCACGGUCCUGGCCAGUGCGGCCCAGAUCCGCACCCUUGUCCCUCGGGGGGUGGCCACCCCCCGGCUUUGGCUCAAGGACCCUCCACCACGGUCUCUCUGUAAGCCUGAGACUCAUCCCCCUUCCCACAAGGCCCCCGCAGUCCCCAGGCCCUGUUGCCACCCAGCCCGGCCCCUCCAGGCCUCCGUCCCCGCUCAAGGGGGCUCAGCCUCCAGUGCACCUUUAUUUGGCGGCACCUGAGACGUGCUGAAUUCCUGGGCCAGGGAUGGAACCCUCACCUGAGCUGCUGCAGUGACAACAUGUGUCCUUAACCCGCUGCGCCUCAUGGGAAUUCUGGGGGCACCUGGAGUCAUUGGGGGGGGGGACUUUGAGAACGGGACUGGCCCAUCCUCCGAUGCUCCAGCCAGGACUCCCCCAGUGGUGGCCUCUCCUCUAAAGUUGUCACGUCCAGCUCAGCCCCGAGCGCUCAGGCUCCUGGGACCCCAACCUGCUGCCCCCUGGCCUUGUCACUGCCUAGUGCCCCGCCUCCUCCCCCGACCAGCCUGGACGCCAGAGUCAGUGCUGUGACCGCUCCCCCGGCCGUCCCGCCCGCUUGGGACGCCGCCAG
This 1107-nucleotide long non-coding RNA is filed under the name Sus scrofa (pig). RNAcentral describes it as "lncRNA (ENSSSCG00005034175.1)". Lineage: Eukaryota; Metazoa; Chordata; Mammalia; Artiodactyla; Suidae. The record is from RNAcentral.